UACGUAGGCAGCGAGCGUUGUUCGGAAUUACUGGGCGUAAAGAGUGUGUAGGCGGUGUUCCAAGUCUGGUGUGAAAUCUCCCGGCUUAACUGGGAGGGUGCGCCGGAAACUGGAAUGCUCGAGGGUGGGAGAGGUAAGCGGAAUUCCUGGUGUAGCGGUGGAAUGCGUAGAUAUCAGGAGGAACACCUGUGGUGUAGACAGCUUACUGGACCACUUCUGACGCUGAGACACGAAAGCGUGGGUAGCAAACAGG
Molecule: ribosomal RNA, 253 nt
Filed under: uncultured bacterium
Lineage: Bacteria
Description: partial 16S ribosomal RNA
Rfam family: Bacterial small subunit ribosomal RNA
Source: RNAcentral